This 805-nucleotide ribosomal RNA is filed under the name Staphylococcus sp. KSUM_34. RNAcentral describes it as "bacterial SSU rRNA". It matches the Rfam family "Bacterial small subunit ribosomal RNA", at positions 32 to 816 of the family's 1533-position model. The record is from RNAcentral. Lineage: Bacteria; Bacillati; Bacillota; Bacilli; Caryophanales; Staphylococcaceae.
AACGCUGGCGGCGUGCCUAAUACAUGCAAGUCGAGCGAACAGACGAGGAGCUUGCUCCUCUGACGUUAGCGGCGGACGGGUGAGUAACACGUGGGUAACCUACCUAUAAGACUGGGAUAACUCCGGGAAACCGGGGCUAAUACCGGAUAACACAUGAAACCGCAUGGUUUCAUGAUGAAAGACGGUUUUGCUGUCACUUAUAGAUGGACCCGCGGCGUAUUAGCUAGUUGGUAAGGUAACGGCUUACCAAGGCAACGAUACGUAGCCGACCUGAGAGGGUGAUCGGCCACACUGGAACUGAGACACGGUCCAGACUCCUACGGGAGGCAGCAGUAGGGAAUCUUCCGCAAUGGGCGAAAGCCUGACGGAGCAACGCCGCGUGAGUGAUGAAGGUCUUCGGAUCGUAAAACUCUGUUAUUAGGGAAGAACAAGGAUGUAAGUAACUAUGCAUCCCUUGACGGUACCUAAUCAGAAAGCCACGGCUAACUACGUGCCAGCAGCCGCGGUAAUACGUAGGUGGCAAGCGUUAUCCGGAAUUAUUGGGCGUAAAGCGCGCGUAGGCGGUUUUUUUAAGUCUGAUGUGAAAAGCCCACGGCUCAACCGUGGAGGGUCAUUGGAAACUGGAAAACUUGAGUGCAGAAGAGGAAAGUGGAAUUCCAUGUGUAGCGGUGAAAUGCGCAGAGAUAUGGAGGAACACCAGUGGCGAAGGCGACUUUUCUGGUCUGCAACUGACGCUGAUGUGCGAAAGCGUGGGGAUCAAACAGGAUUAGAUACCCUGGUAGUCCACGCCGUAAACGAUGAGUGC